UGAGCUCAAAUUUAAAAUCUGGCGUCUUUCAGGCGUCCGAGUUGUAAUCUAUAGAGGCGUUUUCCGCGCCGGACCGCGUCCAAGUCUCUUGGAAUAGAGUAUCAAAGAGGGUGACAAUCCCGUACUUGACGCGACAACCGGUGCUCUGUGAUACGUUCUCAAUGAGUCGAGUUGUUUGGGAAUGCAGCUCUAAAUGGGUGGUAAAUUCCAUCUAAGGCUAAAUAUUGGCGAGAGACCGAUAGCGAACAAGUACCGUGAGGGAAAGAUGAAAAGCACUUUGGAAAGAGAGUUAAACAGCACGUGAAAUUGUUAAAAGGGAAACGAUUGAAGUCAGUCGUGUGAAAGGUAUUCAGCCGUCUCUGGCGGUGUAUUUGCCUUUCACGGGUCAACAUCAGUUUGAUCCGGUAGAAAAAGGCGGGAGGAAGGUGGCACCCUCGGGUGUGUUAUAGCCUCCUGUCAUAUGUGCCGGACCAGACUGAGGAACGCAGCUUGCCGCAAGGCCGGGGUUCGCCCACGUACAAGCUUAUGAUGUUGACAU
RNAcentral lists this ribosomal RNA (538 nucleotides) under Vishniacozyma victoriae. Its description in RNAcentral is "partial large subunit ribosomal RNA". It matches the Rfam family "Eukaryotic large subunit ribosomal RNA", at positions 104 to 632 of the family's 3401-position model. Lineage: Eukaryota; Fungi; Basidiomycota; Tremellomycetes; Tremellales; Bulleribasidiaceae. The record is from RNAcentral.